This is a long non-coding RNA of Lates calcarifer (barramundi perch), 1298 nucleotides long. RefSeq lists it as uncharacterized. The transcript is spliced from 6 exons. The record is from RefSeq and is a predicted model, not a curated record. Lineage: Eukaryota; Metazoa; Chordata; Actinopteri; Centropomidae.
GGCCUGCACCUGACACACACCCUUCAUACGCGGCACCUGCCUCGCGGCUUCUGCUACAAACAUCUCCAUCGUUAUAGAUUUACUAAGUACAGGAGCAGCUAAUAACUCUCGGCUACAUUAGUGUCAGCGGUGGGAUUUCCUCCUGCUUUAACAGCCGCUGAAAGAUCGAUGUUAUGUCAAUAUGUGUCGUUACCGGGAGUUUUAGCUAAUUAGCUAGCCUGGGUUAGCUUAGCUUCAGUCACCAUGACAGUUUAUUACCUGAACAUUUUACUCCAUGUCAGCGGGAAAGAAGAUUGCUGAAGCUGUUUUGAUGAUACUGACUUAUUGGCUGACAACGGAAUUCAUGUCCGACUAAAUCACUUGUCAACUUGACAGUGAAGGAGUCUGUGGGAGCGGGGAUUUAAACUCCGCCAUCAUGGAGAAAUGGCGGUUGAGGAAAUGUUCACAUCGUUUGGAGUCUGUUUUUAAGUCUGGGUUUGGAGCAUCACGUGACCUGAAUCACCUGAUCACACCUCCACUCCUCUGCAGACACUGGUUUGACUCAACCAGAGAACUCGCUUUUAGUGAUAAAGCUUCAUCUCGCUGCUCCUCAUCAUCCUGAGUGAAGACGACAUUAGAAGAGUUUCCACUGACAUCUGGGACGUGGGCUGGAAACUUCCAGAUGUUUCAGGAGGAACAGUUUGUUGAAGAUAAAUCAGCUUUGUUCUCUGAACAGAAGACUGGAGAAUUUGACCUUAAAGGUUCAUCCUCACUGGGCUCGAUGAGGAUCUGAUGAGGUUCCUGGAGUGGCAUCAUGGAACUGACUGAGCACAACACGGCUUCAUGAUGACAGCUCCACACAGAGGAUGAUGUCACUUCUUCUGCUGGGUCCUCUGCAUUUUCUCAAGGAACAAGACAGUGAAGGCCACAGGAGCAGAUGAGGAGGUCACCGAGGAGAGGAAGGCUGCCACCGAUUGGUUUUUGUAUCCUCCACAUACUCUAUCCAGAGGAACACAGGUUCACCACUGAAAUCCUCAGAGUCCUGAUGAUUGGUGGCAGAGGGCAGUGUUCCUCAGCUGAUCCUGGUCUGAGAGACAGACUCCUGCUGAACCCUGCAGACCUGGAUCUGAUGGCUCAUCAGAUACAGCUGCUCAGCUCUGCCCUCUCCCAGUGUUCAUCAGGAGUCUCUGAGGGACCUCACAGGUGUACCUUGGUCCUUGAGAUUAUCAGUUUAGAGGUUCCCAAUUAGACAAAUCAGCAGAGCAGAGGUUUGUGGUGGGUCUGCAGCAUCAGCGUGAAAUAUCAGAUUUGCAAAAUGC